This is a long non-coding RNA of Athalia rosae (coleseed sawfly), 4399 nucleotides long. RefSeq lists it as uncharacterized. The record is from RefSeq and is a predicted model, not a curated record. Lineage: Eukaryota; Metazoa; Arthropoda; Insecta; Hymenoptera; Athaliidae. The transcript has 6 exons.
UAACCGGAAUAAUCUGAAUUUCGGCAAGGAAAUUUCAGGGAAUAUUCGGAAGAGUGUAUACUAUUCGAUAAAGCAAGAAAAAAAAAUCGAUUUUUUGAAAAUUUCGCACUGGAAAGCUCCCUUAAUAGGAACAAGAGAAACAUGUGCGUGGAGAAUGAAGCAUGGAACUGUUAAAUCUGAUUUGAGGUGCAAAAACAAUGUGCUUUGCUUUUAUUGAUUUGGAGCAGGAACGAAGCCUUUAUCACAUUUUAUUCAUUAUUAGAAAUAUUAGAUUUAUUAUUAGUUGAAUGCAAAAGCUGUGCGUGAUUCACCAAUAACAGGAAAAGAUUCAAAAACGAUUGGCGAUGCGCGAAAAACGAGUGCCCGCGCAUCAGAAAAACAUUCAAAACACGAGAUUUCAUCAUUCUUUUAUCUUGUUAAUGUAUUGUUGAGGAGAUUCAUAUCGCACUCACGCGAAAAAGUAGAAAUAAUAAAUCUUUCGAAAUAUAAUAGAUCAAUCCAAGCGUGGGCGAGUGAUAGGACUCUGGGAGUCCGGUGUAUCGGUUUCAGCGAUAGCAGCCGAAGUCAAUAUCAGCGUCUCAACAGCAAAGCACUAAAAGUUCAGAGAAGUUGGCAUCGUGGGACUGGAGGACCACCGAAGAGGCAAUGGUGCUGCUUGCCGAACAACAGCUGCUGAGGAUCAAGCUGGCCAGCCAAAUCCUCGGAUCUCAAUCCGAAAGAAAACUGUUGGUCUGAAAUGGUCCGGGGCUGAAGGCCUGUUGCCAGGAAGAGUGAGGAAGGCCUGAGUCUUCGAGUCGAAGCAGAGUGGAAAGAACUCCGCACCAGGCCAGAGUAUAUUGAGGCAAUCGUUGGUGCGAUGCACCGUCGAAUGCAUAGUGUACUCGAGAAUGAUGAUUGGUGGACACACAAUCGAAUGAGGACGUGAGCGCCUAAAUUUUACCGCCUUGUUUUUGAGUACUUGUGUAGUUGGUGGGGCAUUGACCUAUUAGAGCUGAGUACUCUUCACCUUUCGCACUGUGCUGUUGCUUUUGAUAAUACAAAAUUUUCAAGUCUAUUUUUCACUGCUCCCUCAUCAGCCUAUUCUCAUCAAUUAUAACGGGUAUAGUUGUUUGUAUUUUCUUGAACUUUUGUAACUACCUUAUAGCUUUCAGUUCAUAUCUCGGUUCAUAGUAUUCGUAGAAAAGGUAAGCAUUGUAUUUUCUGGAAGUUUUCUUGUUGCUUGCAUUGUGCAAGUGGAAUGCAUUAGAUGAUAACAAUUGUCACGAAGCCACGCUUCGUUACAAGACCGACUAGUACCCCUGAACACCGCGAGAGGGCCAAAGUAAGGUACCAACCGGGAAACCCUAGCAUCCAGCAAGUCAUAGAUCAAAAGGUCGACAAAAUGCUCGCCGAUAACCUAAUCGAACCGUCGAACAAUCCCUGGAGCUCGCCAGUAGUUAUCGUGAAGAAGAAAGAUGGCAAACCACGCUUCCGCGUGGACUACCGCAAGUGAUAGGGCGGUAUUUUUUAAGUGCCCAAGGGCGGCAAAAAUUUAAAUCCGGCCCUGACCGCAAGUCAACGCCACCCUCGAUAAGCUACGAGGCGCACGCUACCUAUCCACUAUCGACCUGAAGAAUGGAUAUUGGCAGGUCCCGAUGGCUGACCCUAGCCGACCGAUGACCGCAUUCACCGUACUAGGCAGAGGCCUAUCCCAGUUCCGAGUCAUGCCGAGUCGUAAACCCCGAACUCGAGCCAUAUGCGUUCGCAUACCUCGAUGAUGUUAUCGUGGUGAGCGGCACUUCUGAGGACCACCUAAGACACCUGGCCACUGUGUUCCACGGCCUGCGAGAGGCCCAACUCAGGAUAAACCCAGGUAAAUGUAAAUUCUGCGUAGCCAGCUUGAAGUACCUCGGGCAUAUCAUCGACAAAGACGGAAUUCACACCGACCCGGAGAAAACGCAGGCAAUCACUCGAAUGGCAGCUCCGCAUAACCGCCGAACAGUACGACGAUUCCCAGGUUGAAUUUCCUGGUACCGACGAUGCAUCCUAGACGUAUCCACAGUCACCGCCCCACUCAACGAACCAAUCAAGAAAUCGACCAGAUGGCAUUGGGGAGAACCACAGCGAACCGCGUUCAACCGACUAAAGCAAUUGCUAACUACCACGCCCAUUCUAGCAUGCCCGGACUUCUAAAAGGGAUUCUCACUAUAGACCGACGCUAGCAACACCGGCAUCGGCGCCGUACUAACGCAGAACCAUGACGGUCAAGAACGGGUCAUAGCCUACGUCAGCCGCACGUUAUCCCCCGCCGAACGAAACUACACCGUUACCGAAAAAAAAUGCGUUGCGGUAGUAUGGGGCAUCCGCAAGCUCCGCGGCUACCUCGAAGGAUACAAAUUCGAGAUCAUCACGGAUCACCAGUCGCUAAACUGGCUCCAACGACUAGACAACCGCUCCGGGCGACCGGCCCGGUGGGCACUCGAGCUGCAACAGUAUCACUUCUCUGUUAAAUACCGAGAAGGAUCGAAAAAACAUGGUAGCCGGCGCACUUUCCCGACAGGAGCUCGAGCUAGCCGCCAGCGGAGUAGCGUGUCGUUGUAUAACCGCAUGAAACAAGCGACCGAAGAGAACCGCAACGACAACCCGGAUUUCCGCGUAGAGGGCGGCUAGCUCUUUCAGAGCAUCCCCGACCGGCUAGAUUACAACGAAGAAACCGACCAGGAUAAAUUGGAAGCGUUGUGUGCCGCGCGACCAACGACCAGAAGUGCUCCGCCAACAACACGACGAACCCACCGCCGGCCACCUGGGCAUCGCCAAAACGAUAUCCCGACUGACUAGCCCGCCGUUACUAUUGGCCUGGAAUGUUCCGCGUGACUAGACUAGACCUUGGCGACCUGCGAUCGGGCGGAAGGUUCUGGAGCCGUACGCAUCACCUAUCAAACAAGGCUAGGAACAGAAACGCCAAGGUCAUGCUGAAGUGCGAAGGAUCCUACACCGUGUGGAACCAGGUGUCACCAAUAAUUUACCGAACCCGCGUGGCCAGCUCAUCUCAUAGGCAAAACCUCCAAGGCAAGAGGCUUCGGGCCGUCCGCGAGUGCCUGUAAGCGGACCGGCGCCCCCGACACCGGCACCGAGAAGCCGGCCAGCGCACCGCCACCAGGAGGUGGAGAUCCUCUUCCUCGAUGCUUUGGUCUUCGCGCAACACCGCUGCCGACCAGCCAAGCACCGUGCACCGGCCCCAAAACCAGGGUACACCACCGACGCACCAGUACCCUCCAGUAGACCGAACCGCAACUACGAGCUUCCCGCGGGGGGGGGGGGGGGGGGGAAUCACCGUCUCCAUGGAAACCCGAAAAUGGAAGCUGCGACGCCACGGUAACGAGCGCACCCUGAGGUUUGACCGCGCCGGCAACCUCACAUACGUGGAGCCCAAAAAGAGGGACUCUAGUUGGACCCGUCUAUCAGAGCCGCCAGCGUUAUAUGCGAGAACUGUGCUCCACAAAACAUUACCAAAAUAACUGCAUCUUUAUAGAUAUAGUAUAUAGUAGUGCAGUACGGACGUAUAUUUUUCUGUUGAAUUUGAAUUAGAGUGAUUUUAAAUACAAAGCGGUUAUCAAUAAAACAUUUUUGUAUCAAAUUGUUAAUGAAAAACUAAGGUUUUAUUUGGAGUAAUGGUCUUUUAUUAUUGAUAGACGGGAUAUUUAUUGAAAACUACAAAGUAUCUCAAUAAUAUAGUUUAAGGUUAUUGUGAAAAUAAUGAGUUGUCGGUCGUAAUUUUGUGUGCUGCCACCUAGAGAAAAUUUCAUGAUGUCUAUGUCAUGUGCAUUCGGGUCGGUUUACGAUUGACGCAUACGUUUCCGUUCACGUUCCCUCUUACGUAGAAAUUACGAGUCUGGUAUACAAUGAAGUGCUGCGUAAGCAUUAAACCAAUUAGAAGUCGCUUCCUCCGUCCAAUAAGCAGCCUGCAGAGGAACAAAAUCAAUGUCGUGCAUAACCUGCAAGAUACUCAGGGUAUAAACAAACCUGCCGUAAACAUAUAACAAUUAAAUCUUAAUUAUAACAGAAUAAUUCUUUUAUAACAACGUUAAUUGAAUUAUGGUUAUAUUUCAACUAGUAUAACAGGGCAAUCUUGAAUAAAUAUAUAAAUAUUUUAACAUCAAUUAGUUUUUAAAAAACUAACUGAACUAUACAUAGGUUGCUUUAUUUUUCUCCAAUUAUAUUAAUCAAAUCUAACUCAAUCGCCAGCAACCCUUUCUUUGUCUGACUUUGGUUUAAUAAAUAAUAAUAAUAAAAUGUUAACAAUACAGAUGAUCUCUGAAUUGAGAUGUCGUCAAAUAUAAAAAUACAUGUCAAAUGUUAAAAUCGUAUUGUUAUACGCACCUCGUCUGUUAUAUUUUAAUACAGUUUAUACUUAUGUCAG